AGGGCAUACGGCGGAUGCCUAGGCGCCAUCAGCCGAUGAAGGACGCGGUAAGCUGCGAAAAGCUACGGGGAACUGCAAGCAAGUAUUGAUCCGUAGAUGUCCGAAUGGGGAAACCCACCUGCCGUCAUGGGCAGGUAUCCGAAAGGAAGGGAACCCGGGGAACUGAAACAUCUAAGUACCCGGAGGAAGAGAAAUCAAACGAGAUGCCCACAGUAGCGGCGAGCGAAGAGGGCAGAGGGCAAACCGGGGAGCUACGGCUCUUCGGGGUUGAGGACUGCAUUUAGUCUUAAUGGUCUAUCCGAACUACCUGGAAAGGUAGGCAACACAGUGUAAAAGCCACGUAGGUUAAAGUCCAGAGAGAUGAGCAGUAUCCAGAGUACCACGAGGCACGAGGAAUCUUGUGGGAAGCCGGGGGGACCACCCUCCAACCCUAAACACUGAAUGGCGACCGAUAGCGCAUAGUACCGUGAGGGAAAGGUGAAAAGAACCCCGGGAGGGGAGUGAAAGAGAACCUGAAACCGUAUGUCUACAAGCAGUCGGAGCGAAAGCGACGGCGUGCCUAUUGAAGAAUGAACCAACGAGUUACGUGCACUAGCGAGGUUAAGUGGAAGACACGGAGCCGAAGCGAAAGCGAGUCUUAAGAGGGCGGAUAGUUAGUGUACGUAGACCCGAAACCGCAGUGAUCUACCCAUGUCCAGGUUGAAGCGCAGGUAAAAUUGCGUGGAGGACCGAACCUGUGAGCGUUGAAAAGCUUUAGGAUGAGAUGUGGGUAGAGGUGAAAUUCCAAUCGAACGCGGAGAUAGCUGGUUCUCCCCGAAAUAGCUUUAGGGCUAGCCUCAAGUAGUAAGUAUAGGCGGUAGAGCACUGAUCGGGCUAGGGGCCAUAAAGGUUACCGAACCCUGUCAAACUCCGAAUGGUUAUACUGUAGAGCUUGGGAGUCAGACUACGAGUGAUAAGAUCCGUGGUCAAAAGGGAAACAGCCCAGACCACCAGCUAAGGUCCCCAAUGUCGUACUAAGUGGAAAAGGAUGUGGGGUCUCUAAAACAACCAGGAUGUUGGCUUAGAAGCAGCCACCAUUUAAAGAGUGCGUAAUAGCUCACUGGUCGAGAGACCCUGCGCCGAAGAUUACCGGGGCUAAAGUACGAAACCGAAGCUGUGGCUACGACGUAAGUCGUGGGGUAGGGGAGCGUUCUGUGAGGGCUGAAGUCGUUCUGUAAGGAACGGUGGACUUCACAGAAGUGAGAAUGUUGGUAUGAGUAGCGAAAAGAAUGGUGAGAAUCCAUUCCACCGAAAGCAUAAGGAUUCCUGGGCAACGAUCGUCGUCCCAGGGUAAGUCGGGACCUAAUCCGAGGCAUAGAGCGUAGGAGAUGGACAACUGGCAGAUAUUCCAGUACCGGUAAUGAUUGUUUGAGCGAUGGAGUGACACAGGAGGGCAGGCAGGCAGGAGAUUGGUUGUUCCUGUACAAGCGUGUAGGAUGGGGCGUAGGCAAAUCCGCGUCCUGUGAGUCUGAGGCGUGAUGUGGAGGUUCCGGAAACGGAACUGAAGCUGCUGACCCCACACUGUCGAGAAAAGCUUCUAGUUAGAGAAUUACCGCCCGUACCGUAAACCGACACAGGUAUGCGGGGAGAGAAUCCUAAGGUGCGCGGGAGAACCCUCGUUAAGGAACUCGGCAAAAUGUACCCGUAACUUCGGGAUAAGGGUAGCCGCUGUUGUGAAGUCUGCACAGACGGAGCAUGAGGCGGUCGCAGAGAAGAGGCCCAAGCGACUGUUUACCACAAACACAGGUGCCUGCUAAAGAGAAAUCUGACGUAUAGGUGCUGACACCUGCCCAGUGCCGGAAGGUUAAGGAAGGAUGUCCGGAGCAAUCCAAAGCAUUCGACCGAAGCCCCGGUAAACGGCGGCCGUAACUAUAACGGUCCUAAGGUAGCGAAAUUCCUUGUCGGGUAAGUUCCGACCCGCACGAAAGGUGUAACGAUUUGGGCACUGUCUCAACGAGGGACCCGGUGAAAUUGAAGUACCUGUGAAGAUGCAGGUUACCCGCGACUGGACAGAAAGACCCCAUGGAGCUUUACUGUAACCUGACAUUGGGUUCUGAUACAUCACGUACAGGAUAGGUGGGAGGCAUGGAAGCGAGGACGCUAGUCUUCGUGGAGCCGCCGUUGGGAUACCACCCUUGAUGUAUCGGAAUUCUAACCGUAGGAGUAACGAAACUCGGGACAGUGUCAGGCGGGCAGUUUGACUGGGGCGG
This 2249-nucleotide ribosomal RNA is filed under the name human gut metagenome. Its description in RNAcentral is "bacterial LSU rRNA". It matches the Rfam family "Bacterial large subunit ribosomal RNA", at positions 14 to 2282 of the family's 2925-position model. The record is from RNAcentral.